UACAGAGGUCCCAAGCGUUGUUCGGAUUCACUGGGCGUAAAGGGUGCGUAGGUGGCCAGGUAAGUUUGGUGUGAAAUCUCCGGGCUUAACCCGGAAAUGGCAUUGAAUACUAUCUGGCUAGAGGUUUGUAGGGGGGACUGGAAUUCUCGGUGUAGCAGUGAAAUGCGUAGAUAUCGAGAGGAACACCAGUGGCGAAGGCGAGUCCUUGGACAACACCUGACACUGAGGCACGAAAGCCAGGGGAGCAAACGGG
RNAcentral lists this ribosomal RNA (253 nucleotides) under uncultured bacterium. Its description in RNAcentral is "partial 16S ribosomal RNA". It matches the Rfam family "Bacterial small subunit ribosomal RNA", at positions 524 to 776 of the family's 1533-position model. The record is from RNAcentral.